AGGACGAACGCUGGCGGCGUGCUUAACACAUGCAAGUCGAGCGGAAAGGCCCUUCGGGGUACUCGAGCGGCGAACGGGUGAGUAACACGUGAGUAAUCUGCCCUUAGCUCUGGGAUAGCUCCGGGAAACCGGGAUUAAUACCAGAUACAACCACUUUAGACAUCUGUUGUGGUGGAAAGAAUUUUGGCUAAGGAUGAGCUCGCGGCCUAUCAGCUUGUUGGUGGGGUAAUGGCCUACCAAGGCGACGACGGGUAGCCGGCCUGAGAGGGCGACCGGCCACACUGGGACUGAGACACGGCCCAGACUCCUACGGGAGGCAGCAGUGGGGAAUAUUGCGCAAUGGGCGAAAGCCUGACGCAGCGACGCCGCGUGGGGGAUGAAGGCCGUUCGGUUCGUAAACCCUUUCAGCAGGGACGAAGACGAAAGUGACGGUACCUGCAGAAGAAGCGCCGGCUAACUACGUGCCAGCAGCCGC
This 475-nucleotide ribosomal RNA is filed under the name uncultured bacterium. RNAcentral describes it as "SSU rRNA". It matches the Rfam family "Bacterial small subunit ribosomal RNA", at positions 26 to 518 of the family's 1533-position model. The record is from RNAcentral.